RNAcentral lists this ribosomal RNA (301 nucleotides) under uncultured bacterium. RNAcentral's name for it is "partial 16S ribosomal RNA". It matches the Rfam family "Bacterial small subunit ribosomal RNA", at positions 509 to 807 of the family's 1533-position model. The record is from RNAcentral.
CAGUAGCCGCGGUAAUACGGAGGGUGCAAGCGUUAAUCGGAAUUACUGGGCGUAAAGCGCACGCAGGCGGUUUGUUAAGUCAGAUGUGAAAUCCCCGAGCUUAACUUGGGAACUGCAUUUGAAACUGGCAAGCUAGAGUCGUGUAGAGGAUAGUGGAAUUUCCGGUGUAGCAGUGAAAUGCGUAGAGAUCGGAAGGAACAUCUGUGGCGAAGGCGGCCAUCUGGGACAACACUGACGCUGAAGCACGAAAGCGUGGGGAGCAAACAGGAUUAGAUACCCCGGUAGUCCCUGUCUCUUAUAC